UUAAAUCAUGUCAAAAGCUCAAAAAGUAAAGCAAAUGUAAACAUUGGAAUUAGUAUUUGGCUUUAAGUCUCUUCAAAUGUUUUCCAAAUCGUUGACAAAUUAAGAUUUCAUUAAUUUAUAAACGGAACAAGAAAUUAAGCUGGAGCACAAAAUCCAUACUUGAGCAUGAGAUGGUUUCAUGAAUACAGGCCCUGAAGUAAACACCACUGUUCUUCUAGCCACAUGGUUCAUGCAUCAGUUACUAAGUAAAGGUCAUUUUACUAAACUCCCAUUCUGGGUGUAAUUGCUUACAUCAACAUUCAUAUUACAGAUAUCUACCUGCCUGUAGCCUGGUGUGUAAAUAUACAGUAAUAUAAGGAUGUUAACAACAAUAACAAGUAUUAUCCUCUCUGGGAGUAUCUCCUCAAUAGUAAUAUUAUCACUAUUUUUAUUUAUAUUGUUCAAGCCUCUAUGUGAUAAUUGUUAGUCAGUGGCUACAUUGCCUAUCCCUAUACGUGACGUCAUUGUUUUCCAUUAUGUUGAACCAUUUCCUCAGAAAAUAAAGAGGUUUGCACACUGCUUCUCACCAUCAGCAACCAAGCCUUUUACAAGGUGCUUAUUGAAUAAUGAACAGUCAAAAUAAUAAUGAAUAUUUUGGUCUCACGUAGCUACAUAUGUACUGCAAGUAUGUCAAAAUGGAAAAAUGGUAUCCAGGGUUUAAUUCAAGGUUAAGUGCAUGAUGCAAAGGGUUGCUCACAGUCGUGCCUCAAUCCUGAUGUAUAGUUUGCGAUAAUUUAUGUGAUAUAUUGUAACGUAUGUCUUACAUGACCUAAAAAAUGUUAUCUUACAUCGGAAGGGUUAUGUUUUUAUGUUAAUUAUAAAUGUAAAGAAUGAAUUUCAUUAUGAGUUUUUAUUUUAAGUAAUUAACCAAACUAAAUUUCUUAAGUUUCUACUCUGUCUUGUACUAAAAAGAUUUUUACCAUAACAAAUAUCACACUGCGACCCUGUGCCAUGGAGCAGUUCUAGUCAAUACAAAAUUGAAGGUUAUAAAAGAGAAUAGCUAGUUUUCAAAUGCUACAAUGAACUCACCUUAUCCUUAUUAUUGUUUAUAGAUACACAUUCCACAGGUGAUUGUGAUAUACUGUAUAUAUGUACAUUUGUUAAUUCAUAGAUAUGCUGAUUUUCAUCUGUUUGUACAGGAUCUGAUUGUAAAUACAUUCACGUUGAAAUAAAUUUUUAUUUGUAA
Molecule: long non-coding RNA, 1225 nt
Organism: Mizuhopecten yessoensis (Yesso scallop)
Lineage: Eukaryota; Metazoa; Mollusca; Bivalvia; Pectinida; Pectinidae
Exons: 2
Source: RefSeq, a predicted model, not a curated record